This 468-nucleotide ribosomal RNA is filed under the name uncultured bacterium. Its description in RNAcentral is "partial 16S ribosomal RNA". It matches the Rfam family "Bacterial small subunit ribosomal RNA", at positions 28 to 507 of the family's 1533-position model. The record is from RNAcentral.
GACGAACGCUGGCGGCGUGCUUAACACAUGCAAGUCGAACGGAAAGGCCCUGCUUUUGUGGGGUGCUCGAGUGGCGAACGGGUGAGUAACACGUGAGUAACCUGCCCUUGACUUUGGGAUAACUUCAGGAAACUGGGGCUAAUACCGGAUAGGAGCUCCUGCUGCAUGGUGGGGGUUGGAAAGUUUCGGCGGUUGGGGAUGGACUCGCGGCUUAUCAGCUUGUUGGUGGGGUAGUGGCUUACCAAGGCUUUGCCGGGUAGCCGGCCUGAGAGGGUGACCGGCCACAUUGGGACUGAGAUGCGGCACAGACUCCUCCGGGAGGCAGCCGUGGGGAAUAUUGCACAAUGGGCGGCAGCCUGAUGCAGCAACGCCGCGUGCGGGAUGACGGCCUUCGGGUUGUAAUCCGCUUUCGCCUGUGACGAAGCGUGAGUGACGGUACUGGGUAAAGAAGCACCGGCUAACUACGUG